This is a non-coding RNA of Bemisia tabaci, 2962 nucleotides long. NCBI's taxonomy places the organism in Eukaryota, Metazoa, Arthropoda, Insecta, Hemiptera, Aleyrodidae. The record is from RefSeq and is a predicted model, not a curated record.
ACAGUACGAUUUGAACGCUUUUUUCAAAUUUUCUAUUAUUAUUUUGAAGUAUUGGAAGUUGGAGUUUUGCAGUGCGUCAUCACCAAACAGCUUGUGUGGUACGGUCAUGUCCAUAUGAUGACGGAAGAGAGGCUGCCGGAAAAGAUGCUUGAUUGGGUUCCUCCUGGGAGUAGACGAAGGGGACGCCCGGCGAAAGGGUGGCGACAGAGGGUUUUGGAUUUGCUGAGGAAGUUCCAACUCCCUGAUGGGUUGUGGGAGGACCAAGUUGAUUGGCGUCGCAGAGCGCCAGAGAGCGCUGUGAGAAUCACUCAAAAAGAUCUAGAAAUUAAAUGCACUGGCAACAGCUUAUAUGUAAUUAGAGAUGGAAAAAACUCAAGGAACCGUAUUAUUACGUAACAACAAAAUAUUUUCAAUGUUUUGGAACCCGCAUCCUGCAUUCACGGGCUUUAAAGUUUUUGUGACGAAUCGUUGCCCGUGCGCCCCUGCGCUUUAUGUAUUCAUUUUGUUUCGUGAGUUAUACAAAAUCUACAAAUAUAUAUGAAACGACCUCUUUAGCCUCAUAAUUUUAAUUACUGGCGAUUUUUUUGUGUAUGCUGCUCAAGAAGAAGAUUCAGAUCCCACGCAUUUGGAUAUUAAAUUUUAUUUUCUAUAAAAAAAGAAGAAGAUACAUCUGAAAGCAAUUCGUGUUAAUGCAUAGGUUUAUGGCAAAAAAAUUACUUCCUUCACUAUGCCAAUCCUAGCGCUUUAAAGAAGACAAUCUGCGAAGAAUUGGCUAAUAAAUGUGAAUAGAAAUUUCGUACUUCAAAAGCUCCACCAUUGAAUUUGCGUGUAUAAUACGUCAAAUCAAUCAGGUGAGCCUGAAUCUGAAAUGGAUACAAGAACCUCACAAUCGUAGAGGUGUGAUUUAAAAAUUAGAAGUUUGUUUAAGGUAUCAAAAGAAGAUGAAAAAAGUAACGUUCCACGCAGAUGGAGUAACCCUCAAAAACAUCAUGGCAAUUAUGGGAUCACUUAUCGUAUAUGGUAGUAGAAGCUAUUCAGCUGAUACUGGAUCACAAGAUGACUCAGAAGUAAAUUUUCAAGAUUUAUAUAAUGCAGCAUUACGACAUCAGGACUUGAUUCCGGAUAUCAUUUCAAAAGCUCCCACGCACAGUUAUUUGAGGUAUCGUUUAUUCAUAAGAAAUUCUCUUUUAAACUAGGAAACAUAUUGCUGCCUGCAGCUUUGAAAUAUCCUCCAUUUUUUAUAGAUUGGCCAACAAAAAAAGACACACUUUACACGAUGCUAAUGAUAGAUCCAGACAUGCCAUCUCGACAUGAGCCUUCUCUUCGGGAAUGGAACCACUGGCUUCUGGGCAACAUGGUCGGCCCUGACCUAUCCACCGGUGACGUAAUCGCUCAGUAUAUUUCACCUGAACCACUGCAAGAUACAGGUUACCAUCGAAUUACUUUCCUUGUUUUUGAACAGCCUAGGCACAUACAUUUUACCGAGCCACCGCUGGAAUUUGAUCGUAACGAUACGCGGAGGACUCAUUUCUCUUGGCGAAAGUUUGCCGAAAAGUACGAGUUGGGAGAUCCAAUCGCAAUCAACUUUUGUUUGACUGCCUUUAACAAGACUGCCAUUGAAGGAUUCGAUGAUGUUCGCGAAAGCUCUACCCCAAAGGAUCAAUUAAUUUCAAGCUAACGAUAAAAAAAAUAAUGAAUUGCGUGGUGUUGGCGUGGUCAAAAAGGAUUUGUGGGUAUAUUAUCGUAUUCCGGGUAAACGUCACUAUUUUUGUUUCUAUUCUUGAGUUAAUUGUAGUAUCUCAUCAAAUAGAGAGACUAUCCAUAGAAAUUGAUAGCAAAUUAAUGGGUCACAGGAUUAUUCCAGGUCUUUUAGAUGUCUCUCCGAAUAAAACAAUAGGAAAAUUUAGUGAUUAUACACAGAUAAGAAAAAUAAUAACUUUCAUGACUUGGUUCGGUGGACGCUCCUCCAACGUCUAAACGUUGGAACCGGCUGCUCGUUUUAUUUUUAUACUAAUUUAUGUCUUUGCUUACUCUGAUUCCUCUUUUAUUCAUAUUUCAUGUAACUCUGUAACUUUAUCUCAUCUCUACACCUCUAAAAGUGUCUGUAAAACUGUUUAAAUUUUUUACGCUGUUCAAAUGAAUUGCAAAAAAACCUUUUUGUGGUCUGCGCAAACAAGUGUAUAUGAGGACUUAUCUGUAACAAAAGCGGAUGUCGAGUUUUCACAUUGUGAGAAAAUCGCGUUUGAAGUUUUCGAAGCUUUGCAUACUUUGUCGCCCGUAGAACCGAGAGGAUCCUUGUAACGAUUUUCAUAAAGAGCAACCCUUCCUGUAAAAAAAACACGUUUUGCGAUCUAUGUAAGUGAAAAAUGUAGGAGUAACAGCGAUUUGAAAAAAAUGUGACAUCCGCUGUUUUUACUGAAAACGUUUUUUUAUGCAUGAAACAAAGUCUUCGGGAGGGUUAAGGCUAGUGAAACGAUUGAAAUGAACCAAAAGUAAGCCAACGCUGAGUCAUUUAAUACAAUUGAACAAAAAACUGCGGACCGUUUGUAACUUUUAGAACAAAAAUAAGGAACAAAUUAUAAAAUCAGUUAAAAAAUCAACAAUUCUGGCGAGAUGGUCCCGAUACGUAUAAUUUGAGUGUCAGCUAUAGCCCAUGGUCGGUAUGCGGGCAGUUAUCGCAAGUGGAUUCGAAUCUCUACCAUGUCCUGCCGCGCCGGCGGGGGAGAACAAGGGAUUCUCACAUCCGCUGUUUUUAGAAAUAACGCGUGGUUUUCAGUUCAUAUCUCACCGAAAAAUUGUCCUGGAAGUCUGAAACUAUGCACAGGCAUUUUUGAGGGUUCCAGAAUUCGAAAAAAAGCGUUUGCCCUAAAAAUGGUGGAUGUCAGCGACCGCUGUUGUUACAUAUAAGUCCUCAUAUGUAUACUUAUGUAGGACCUAAUUAAAAAACUAAAUUAAAAAAGUA